AUCCAGCUGACGAGUUCCAAAUACGACGAAACGUCUGUUCUGGAU
Molecule: non-coding RNA, 45 nt
Filed under: Schistosoma margrebowiei
Lineage: Eukaryota; Metazoa; Platyhelminthes; Trematoda; Strigeidida; Schistosomatidae
Source: RNAcentral